This 85-nucleotide transfer RNA is filed under the name Simiduia agarivorans SA1 = DSM 21679. It matches the Rfam family "tRNA". From Rfam's summary of the family: Transfer RNA (tRNA) molecules are approximately 80 nucleotides in length. Their secondary structure includes four short double-helical elements and three loops (D, anti-codon, and T loops). Lineage: Bacteria; Pseudomonadati; Pseudomonadota; Gammaproteobacteria; Cellvibrionales; Cellvibrionaceae. RNAcentral also lists the same sequence under 1 other name. The record is from Rfam by way of RNAcentral.
GGAAGGGUGGCAGAGUGGUCGAAUGCACCGGUCUUGAAAACCGGCGAUGUGCGAGCAUCCGUGGGUUCAAAUCCCACCCCUUCCG